UCAUGAUUUAGCCAGAAAAUCUCAAGCAAAGAGCACUUUAGUUUGAUUCCCCGAAACUACGUGAGCUACUCCAAGACAGCCUAACAUAGGGCAAACCCGUCUCUGUGGCAAAAGAGUGGGAAGAGCUUUGAGUAGAGGUGACAGACCUACCGAACCUAGUUAUAGCUGGUUGCCUGAGAAAUGAAUAGAAGUUCAGCCUAUCGGAUUCUUCCCUCACCUUUAUAAUUUUUACAACAACCAAAAGAAACCGAAAGAGUUAGUCAAAGGGGGUACAGCCCCUUUGACACAAGACACAACUUUUCCAGGAGGGUAAAGAUCAUACUCAAACACCAAGGUAAGAUGUUUUGGUGGGCCUAAAAGCAGCCACCCCUACAGAAUGCGUUAAAGCUCAAACAUACCUACCACCCAUAAUCCUGACAACCCUAUCUUAACCCCCUAACCCUACCAGGCCAUCCCAUGCAAACAUGGGAGUGACCAUGCUAAUAUGAGUAAUAAGAGAGCAUUAGCCUCUCUCCCUGCAC
RNAcentral lists this ribosomal RNA (521 nucleotides) under Sebastiscus marmoratus (false kelpfish). Its description in RNAcentral is "partial 16S ribosomal RNA". It matches the Rfam family "Bacterial large subunit ribosomal RNA", at positions 613 to 1342 of the family's 2925-position model. The record is from RNAcentral. Lineage: Eukaryota; Metazoa; Chordata; Actinopteri; Perciformes; Sebastidae.